GACGAACGCUGGCGGCGUGCCUAAUACAUGCAAGUCGAGCGGACCUUUCGGGGUCAGCGGCGGACGGGUGAGUAACACGUGGGCAAUCUGCCCGAUACUCUGGGAUAACGCUUGGAAACGAGUGCUAAUACCGGAUGGUCUUCUUGGCCGCAUGGCCGAGAAGGAAAAGACGCGUUCGCGUCGGUGUCGGAUGAGCCCGCGGCGCAUUAGCUAGUUGGUGAGGUAACGGCCCACCAAGGCGACGAUGCGUAGCCGACCUGAGAGGGUGACCGGCCACACUGGGACUGAGACACGGCCCAGACUCCUACGGGAGGCAGCAGUAGGGAAUCUUCCACAAUGGACGAAAGCCUGAUGGAGCAACGCCGCGUGAGUGAAGAAGGUUUUCGGAUCGUAAAACUCUGUUGUUAGAGAAGAACAAGGAUGAGAGUAACUGUUCAUCCCUUGACGGUAUCUAACCAGAAAGCCACGGCUAACUACGUGCCAGCCGCCGCAGUAAUAC
This 499-nucleotide ribosomal RNA is filed under the name uncultured bacterium. Its description in RNAcentral is "bacterial SSU rRNA". It matches the Rfam family "Bacterial small subunit ribosomal RNA", at positions 28 to 526 of the family's 1533-position model. The record is from RNAcentral.